CCAGAUCCCUCGUGCGGCGUUACCGCACUGAACUCCCCCAGGGUAGGAAUACAGCAAGGGUAGGUGCGCUCUGGUGGGUGCACGAGGGAUCCCUUAU
Molecule: signal recognition particle RNA, 97 nt
Filed under: Actinomycetota bacterium
Lineage: Bacteria; Bacillati; Actinomycetota
Description: Actinobacteria bacterium signal recognition particle sRNA small type
Rfam family: Bacterial small signal recognition particle RNA
About the family: The signal recognition particle (SRP) is a universally conserved ribonucleoprotein involved in the co-translational targeting of proteins to membranes. Archaeal SRP consists of a 7S RNA and homologues of the eukaryotic SRP19 and SRP54 proteins.
Source: RNAcentral